This 1215-nucleotide unclassified non-coding RNA is filed under the name Hevea brasiliensis (rubber tree). The record is from RNAcentral. Lineage: Eukaryota; Viridiplantae; Streptophyta; Magnoliopsida; Malpighiales; Euphorbiaceae.
AUCCAGACCAUACAUCAAGUAAUAGCUAGUUCACUGGCAAGGCUUUUAAUUCCAUUUCUGGAUAUGAUCAUUCUACGACCUCAAUCUUCUUUGACCUUUUGCGCAGAACUAUUGGAGGACAUUGCAUAUCACCCACUUUUGCAGGAACUAUUACUAUCUUUUCUAAGACCACUCCUUGUUUUUUUAGAAGUGACAAGAAAUGAGCUUCAUUUUCUGUUUCAGUAAAUUGUUUCAUCUUCACUUCCUUGAGACUAGGCAUGCUGAGAUCAAUUGGUUUAUUUAAGAGUUCCUCUGACAAACUCUCAUCUUUGUCAAUCUUGAAAAGAUAAUCAAGGAUCAUUGUCUCAAUAUUGGGAGCAAGCUUGAGCAAUGCAGCCAUCCCAAGAAGAUCAUAUUGCGUGUAUCCCGUUUGUAACUCUAAAUGUUUGAGAUUGUAUAACAGAAAGCCUUCGGAAAAAAAUUCAUUUGGCACCAACUUAAACCACCAAUUUUGUACCGCAAGACUCCUGAGAUGAGGUACUUGAUCAAGCGUCCUCACAAUCUUAUUCCAGUACCCAUAGUAUUCGUCCCUUUUAUGCCCAAUAGAAGUAUGAAAAUGAACCAAAGAAGACAAAUUCUUAAUACAGCAAUUCCCAACCUCGAACCAAACUAUACUUAACGAAAUAAGAUUAGGACAAUCAAUCUCCAAAUUCACUUCAAUUUCGUUACGAAUAAAGUACUUAAGCUCCAGCUCCUUCAAUUUCCCAGAACAAACCUUCAAAGUAUCCAUGCCAUAACAGUUCGCAAGCUCCAAAAUCUCGAGAUUGGGACACCCACUAAUCAAAUCCAAAGCCAUCUGAUCAGUCAAAUAAAUUUGAUCAAGACAAAUGGAUUUCAUCGACCAAAGACGCAUGCUUGACAUGUUAGUUGGCAAUGUCAAAUCACAUCGAGUCAGCUUCAAGGCUCGAACCUUCCCAUUUCUCAUAGUGGAGAAGGGAAAAUCGUAAGUAUCCCACGAAUGGGGUUCCUCGACAUGGAAACUUUUAUCGAUGAAGAAAUCAAGAACGAGCUCUUGAGCUCCGUUCUUGAUCGCAUAACGAAUCCAGGAAUCGACAUGGAAACCGUAGCGAUCUUCAUAGAUGAAUUCGAGGCGGAAUUUGAUGAGAGGCGAAUGGGAGCGGCAAACGAGGGUGCGGUCGAUGAAUUCGGCGAAGAAUUGGCGGGGGGUGGAGGGGG